RNAcentral lists this ribosomal RNA (492 nucleotides) under uncultured bacterium. RNAcentral describes it as "partial 16S ribosomal RNA". It matches the Rfam family "Bacterial small subunit ribosomal RNA", at positions 29 to 507 of the family's 1533-position model. The record is from RNAcentral.
AGUGAACGCUGGCGGUAGGCCUAACACAUGCAAGUCGAACGGCAGCACAGUAAGAGCUUGCUCUUACGGGUGGCGAGUGGCGGACGGGUGAGGAAUACAUCGGAAUCUACUUUUUCGUGGGGGAUAACGUAGGGAAACUUACGCUAAUACCGCAUACGACCUAAGGGUGAAAGCAGGGGAUCUUCGGACCUUGCGCGAUUGAAUGAGCCGAUGUCGGAUUAGCUAGCUGGCGGGGUAAAGGCCGACCAAGGCGACGAUCCGUACCUGGUCUGAGAGGAUGGUCAGCCACACUGGAACUGAGACACGGCCCAGACUCCUACGGGAGGCAGCAGUGGGGAAUAUUGGACAAUGGGCGCAAGCCUGAUCCAGCCAUACCGCGUGGGUGAAGAAGGCCUUCGGGUUGUAAAGCCCUUUUGUUGGGAAAGAAAAGCAGCAGGUUAAUACCCCGCUGUUCUGACGGUACCCAAAGAAUAAGCACCGGCUAACUUCGUG